GAUGAAGAACGCAGCGAAAUGCGAUAAGUAAUGUGAAUUGCAGAAUUCAGUGAAUCAUCGAAUCUUUGAACGCACCUUGCGCUCCUUGGUAUUCCGAGGAGCAUGCCUGUUUGAGUGUCAUUUAAUUCUCAACCCCUUCCAGCUUUGUCUGGUUUGGUGGCUUGGAUGUGGGGGAAAAAAUCCUGCGGGCCUCUUUAGAGGUCGGCUCCCCUGAAAUGCAUUAGCGGAACCGUUUGCGGGUCUGUCAUUGGUGUGAUAAUUAUCUACGCCAAAGACGAUCGCUCUCAGUAGCUCUGCUUCUAAUUGUCCCUUACGUAGGACAACCAUACAUGAACACUUGACCUCAAAUCAGGUAGGACUACCCGCUGAACUUAAGCAUAUCAAUAAGCGGAGGA
RNAcentral lists this unclassified non-coding RNA (395 nucleotides) under soil metagenome. RNAcentral describes it as "partial contains 5.8S ribosomal RNA, internal transcribed spacer 2, and large subunit ribosomal RNA". The stretch from base 1 to 120 matches the Rfam family "5.8S ribosomal RNA", at positions 35 to 154 of the family's 154-position model. The record is from RNAcentral.